Molecule: transfer RNA, 74 nt
Filed under: Oligoflexales bacterium
Lineage: Bacteria; Pseudomonadati; Bdellovibrionota; Oligoflexia; Oligoflexales
Also listed under: 1 other name
Description: tRNA-Gly
Rfam family: tRNA
About the family: Transfer RNA (tRNA) molecules are approximately 80 nucleotides in length. Their secondary structure includes four short double-helical elements and three loops (D, anti-codon, and T loops). Further hydrogen bonds mediate the characteristic L-shaped molecular structure. tRNAs have two regions of fundamental functional importance: the anti-codon, which is responsible for specific mRNA codon recognition, and the 3' end, to which the tRNAs corresponding amino acid is attached (by aminoacyl-tRNA synthetases). tRNAs cope with the degeneracy of the genetic code in two manners: having more than one tRNA (with a specific anti-codon) for a particular amino acid; and 'wobble' base-pairing, i.e. permitting non-standard base-pairing at the 3rd anti-codon position.
Source: RNAcentral
GCGGGAAUAGCUCAGUUGGCUAGAGCAGAAGCCUUCCAAGCUUCGGGUCGCGGGUUCGAGUCCCGUUUCCCGCU